RNAcentral lists this ribosomal RNA (414 nucleotides) under uncultured bacterium. Its description in RNAcentral is "bacterial SSU rRNA". It matches the Rfam family "Bacterial small subunit ribosomal RNA", at positions 355 to 787 of the family's 1533-position model. The record is from RNAcentral.
UGGGGAAUAUUGCACAAUGGGCGCAAGCCUGAUGCAGCAACGCCGCGUGAGCGAGGAAGGCUUUCGGGUCGUAAAGCUCUGUCCUUGGGGAAGAAGGAAGUGACGGUACCCAAGGAGGAAGCCCCGGCUAACUACGUGCCAGCAGCCGCGGUAAUACGUAGGGGCAAGCGUUAUCCGGAAUUAUUGGGCGUAAAGAGUACGUAGGUGGUUUUGUAAGCGCGGGGUGAAAGGCAGUGGCUUAACCAUUGUUAGCUUGCGAACUGCAAGACUUGAGUGCAGGAGAGGGAAGCGGAAUUCCUAGUGUAGCGGUGAAAUGCGUAGAUAUUAGGAGGAACACCAGUGGCGAAGGCGGCUUUCUGGACUGUAACUGACACUGAGGUACGAAAGCGUGGGAGCAAACAGGAUUAGAUACCC